RNAcentral lists this ribosomal RNA (468 nucleotides) under uncultured bacterium. RNAcentral describes it as "partial 16S ribosomal RNA". It matches the Rfam family "Bacterial small subunit ribosomal RNA", at positions 28 to 507 of the family's 1533-position model. The record is from RNAcentral.
GACGAACGCUGGCGGCGUGCUUAACACAUGCAAGUCGAACGGAAAGGCCCUGCUUUUGUGGGGUGCUCGAGUGGCGAACGGGUGAGUAACACGUGAGUAACCUGCCCUUGACUUUGGGAUAACUUCAGGAAACUGGGGCUAAUACCGGAUAGGAGCUCCUGCAGCAUGGUGGGGGUUGGAAAGUUUCGGCGGUUGGGGAUGGACUCGCGGCUUAUCAGCUUGUUGGUGGGGUAGUGGCUUACCAAGGCUUUGACGGGUAGCCGGCCUGAGAGGGUGACCGGGCACAUUGGGACUGAGAUACGGCCCAGACUCCUACGGGAGGCAGCAGUGGGGAAUAUUGCACAAUGGGCGGAAGCCUGAUGCAGCGACGCCGCGUGCGGGAUGACGGCCUUCGGGUUGUAAACCGCUUUCGCCUGUGACGAAGCGUGAGUGACGGUAAUGGGUAAAGAAGCACCGGCUAACUACGUG